CAAUCUUAAUUUAAUUCUAGUUAAAUCCUAUUGAACUUCAUUCAAACUUUAGACCAAAAUUAAUUGAAUCUUAAAUCCUAAUAAAAUCUUAAAUCCUAAAUCAAAUCCUAAACAAACCUUAAAUCAAACCCCAACCAAAUCCUAAACCAAAUCCUAACCAAAUCCUAACCAAAUCCUAACCAAAUCCUAAACCAAAUCCUAAAUCCUAAAUAAAAUCCUAAUCAAAUUCUAAACCAAAUCCUAAACCCUAAAUCAAACCCUAAUCCAAACCCUAAACUCUAAACCAAAUCCUAACCAAACCCUAAACCAAACUGUAGUAAUUCCUAUAACAGAUUUAAACCUCAAUAACUAAUGAAUAAACCGUUGAUCUUAACUCAAAUU
Molecule: long non-coding RNA, 381 nt
Filed under: Physcomitrium patens
Lineage: Eukaryota; Viridiplantae; Streptophyta; Bryopsida; Funariales; Funariaceae
Description: long non-coding RNA (PPAT_LNC003211)
Source: RNAcentral